AUCUAACUGACGAGUCCCGAACAGGACGAAACACAUAUUCUGGAU
Molecule: non-coding RNA, 45 nt
Filed under: Schistosoma curassoni
Lineage: Eukaryota; Metazoa; Platyhelminthes; Trematoda; Strigeidida; Schistosomatidae
Source: RNAcentral